This 281-nucleotide unclassified non-coding RNA is filed under the name Hevea brasiliensis (rubber tree). Lineage: Eukaryota; Viridiplantae; Streptophyta; Magnoliopsida; Malpighiales; Euphorbiaceae. The record is from RNAcentral.
AUUUAAUCAGAAUAGUAAAGCUGGACUCUUGAGGUGAAGUCAUGUCACCUAUGAAUGGAGAAGUAGACCAAAAUUGAGGAACUCAAGUUUCGAUGGACAAGAAAAAGGAAAUGAAGAAUGCUGCCAUGCAUGUAGGGACACGUGGAUGAAACUAGCAGAUAUUUUAUUAGAAGAUUUCGAAAUCUGUCCUCCACGUAGGGUCAGGUAAACUGACCUGAUCAUUCAUAAUUCAUGCUUCAUAAGCCUUAUUAUGGACUCUCACAAAAUACAUUUCUUUUGAG